CAACAAGGGGACUGCAAUUACGUAUAGCCAACCAACAGGCUAUAGUGAGCCGGUAUGGACACAAUACAUGCUCGGCACUGUCUAAGUUCGCUGAACUUCUUCCCCAGGAAUCCCGAACAGAGUUUUCGGCUCUAGUUGAGGAGGGGAAGUUAAUCACCUGGGCAUCCCUCCAGGCAGUCCUGGAUGCUGCGGAUGCAGCCUCCCGCAUACUGGCGACUGGGCUGGUUAUGAGGUGGGGAGCCUGGCUUCAGGUCUUAGGCCUUCCACGUGAGGUCCAACAGACUAUCCAGGACCUCCCCUUCGAAGGGCCCAUGCUCUUCUCUGAAAAGACGGACAAGAGGCUACAUAGCCUAAAGGACUCGAGGGCUACCCUUCGCUCGCUGGGCUUGCACACCCCAGUCCGUCAACGUAGGCAGUUCAGGCUGCAACCGGCCCCACGACCAUACCAGCCUCAGAACCGCACGGACGCCUUGCGCAGGUGAGGCAGGAACGGCAGAAGGAGGCAACAACAACAGCCCUCCGGCCAGUCAUCUGGCCAGCCAAGGCCACCAUCGGGGCCUAGACCCCCAAUUUGAUGGCACGGUCGGGGACGACCUACUGGUCAGGACUCUGGAUCCUACCAACCAUACCUUUUUGUCACGUCUGUCCCCCUUCUAUCGUGCCUGGUCCCGAAUCACAUCUGACAGUUGGGUGCUUUGCACGGUAGAGAGGGGAUAUUCUAUCCAGUUCUCCUCCUUCCCGCCCCACCAGGCCCCCUCCCCGUCCCUCUUCAGGGACCCCUCUCACGAGCAACUUUUAAUUCAGGAAGUGCAGUCCCUGCUUGCAGUAGGAGCAGUGGAGGAAGUUCCUCAGGGGCAGAGGCUUCUACUCCCGUUAUUUCCUAAUACCGAAGGUGAAAGGGGGCAUCAGAUGUAUUCUGGACUUGCGGCGUCUGAACAAAUUGAUAAAGAAGCUCAAGUUCCUCAUGAUCUCACUGUCCUCUAUCAUUUCCUCCAUGGAUCCAGGGGACUGGUAUGCCGCCUUCGACUUGAAGGAAGCGUAUUUUCAUAUUGCAAUAAUCCCCCAACACAGGCGUUACCUCAGAUUCGUUGUGGGCAAUGCCCAUCUUCAGUUCACAGUUCUGCCUUUCGGCCU
Molecule: long non-coding RNA, 1134 nt
Filed under: Chrysemys picta bellii (western painted turtle)
Lineage: Eukaryota; Metazoa; Chordata; Testudines; Emydidae
Description: lncRNA (ENSCPBG00000005518.1)
Source: RNAcentral